RNAcentral lists this ribosomal RNA (124 nucleotides) under Danio rerio (zebrafish). Lineage: Eukaryota; Metazoa; Chordata; Actinopteri; Cypriniformes; Danionidae. The record is from RNAcentral.
CCCGAUAUAAGCCCUGGCUCGCACUGGCCUGAUAGUGGAAAUGCGGCUACUGAAGCUAAGCAGGGCUGAGCCUGGUCAGUACCUGGAUGGGAGACCACUAGGGAACACUAGGUUGCUGUUGGAA